This 492-nucleotide ribosomal RNA is filed under the name uncultured bacterium. Its description in RNAcentral is "partial 16S ribosomal RNA". It matches the Rfam family "Bacterial small subunit ribosomal RNA", at positions 28 to 507 of the family's 1533-position model. The record is from RNAcentral.
GAUGAACGCUGGCGGCAGGCCUAACACAUGCAAGUCGAGCGGCAACACGAUAAGCUCUUUCUACUACCGUUGGCGACGGGCGGACGGGUGAGUCAUACAUCGCCAACUUCUUUUUCUUGGUUGAUCACGGAGGGCCAGUGCCGCUACUACCUCAUACGCCCCACGGGUUGGAGCAUUAGCGCUUCGCACCUUUCGCGGCUCAAUGAGCCGGUGUCGCAUUAGCUAGUUGUCUGGGUAAAGGCCCACCAAGCCGACGCUCCGUAGCCUGUCUGAGAGGAUGAUCAGCCACACCAGAACUGAGACACGGUCCAGACUCCUACGGGAGGCAGCAGUGGGGAAUAUUGCACAAUGCGCGAAAGCCUGACCCAGCCAUACCGCGUGGGUGAAGAAGGGCUUCGGGUUGUAAAUCUCUUUUGUUGGGAAAGAAAAAAAGCAUGUGAAAACCCCGCCGUUCUGACGGUACCUAAUGAAUAAGCACCGGCUAACUUCGUG